RNAcentral lists this ribosomal RNA (378 nucleotides) under uncultured bacterium. Its description in RNAcentral is "bacterial SSU rRNA". It matches the Rfam family "Bacterial small subunit ribosomal RNA", at positions 521 to 896 of the family's 1533-position model. The record is from RNAcentral.
UAAGACAGAGGGCGCGAGCGUUGUUCGGAAUUACUGGGCGUAAAGCGCGCGCAGGCGGAUACAGCAAGUCCGAAGUGAAAUCUCGCCGCUCAACGGCGAGGCUGCUUCGGAGACUGCGUGUCUGGGGACCGGUAGAGGCUGGUAGAAUUGCAGGUGUAGCGGUGGAAUGCGUAGAGAUCUGCAAGAAUACCCGUGGCGAAGGCGGCCAGCUGGGCCGGAUCCGACGCUGAGGCGCGAAAGCGUGGGGAGCAAACAGGAUUAGAUACCCUGGUAGUCCACGCCGUAAACGAUGGGCACUAGGUGCCGGGGGGAGCGACCCCUUCGGUGCCGCAGCUAACGCGAUAAGUGCCCCGCCUGGGGAGUACGGCCGCAAGGCUG